Non-coding RNA from Ceratotherium simum simum (southern white rhinoceros), 117 nucleotides. Lineage: Eukaryota; Metazoa; Chordata; Mammalia; Perissodactyla; Rhinocerotidae. The record is from RefSeq and is a predicted model, not a curated record.
UCAGUUAUUUCUUAAAAUAAAUUGUCUGCCCCUUUCUCUCUCUCUUCUCCUUCUGGGACCCCAAUAAUAUGAAUGUUAGUCCACUUGAUGUUUUCCCAUAAUUCCUGUAGAUUGUUA